AAAAUUGGUACAUAUUCUAAAAAAAUUGGAAUGAUACAGAGAAGAUUAGCUUGGCCCCUGCGCAAGGAUGACACACAGAUUCGUGAAGUGGUGAGCUGGCAGAAAUGUUA
This is a small nuclear RNA of Octopus sinensis (East Asian common octopus), 110 nucleotides long. The record is from RefSeq and is a predicted model, not a curated record. Lineage: Eukaryota; Metazoa; Mollusca; Cephalopoda; Octopoda; Octopodidae.